RNAcentral lists this ribosomal RNA (429 nucleotides) under uncultured bacterium. RNAcentral describes it as "bacterial SSU rRNA". It matches the Rfam family "Bacterial small subunit ribosomal RNA", at positions 355 to 775 of the family's 1533-position model. The record is from RNAcentral.
UGGGGAAUAUUGCGCAAUGGGGGAAACCCUGACGCAGCGACGCCGCGUGAGCGAAGAAGGCCUUAGGGUUGUAAAGCUCUGUUUUAGGGGACGAAAGCUAUAGGGAGAAAUAUGCCCUGUAAAUGACGGUACCCUAAGAGGAAGCCCCGGCUAACUACGUGCCAGCAGCCGCGGUAAGACGUAGGGGGCGAGCGUUGUCCGGAAUUACUGGGCGUAAAGAGCACGUAGGCGGGAACUUAAGUCAGGUGUGAAAGACCGUGGCUCAACCACGGGUAUGCAUUUGAAACUGGGUUUCUUGAGGGCAGGAGAGGAAAGCAGAAUUCCUGGUGUAGCGGUGAAAUGCGUAGAAAUCAGGAGGAAUACCAGUGGCGAAGGCGGCUUUCUGGACUGACCCUGACGCUGAGGUGCGAAAGCGUGGGUAGCAAACAG